GGAGGACUUUUUUGGACUUUUUAAUGUGGGUUCCUUCCCAAAAAUAUCCCAUCUAAGCUGCCUGCUAUCAGCCCCUUCUGUCUCUCCACACCUUUGUCCAAAGUCUCUGUCCAGCUCUCUUGGAGCCCCUGCAGGCUCCAGAGGAUGCUCUGAGGUCUCUUGGAGCCCUCUCCUCUCCAGUUUUGAGCUUCUGACCUCACCACGAUGCCAUCAUCACACUUCAGGCAGUCUGAGUGGGAUUUUGCAGUGCUUGAGAGAAGCAUAAACAAACCAGAGUUCCAGCUCUGGUCUGAACAUUGUGUCUGAUUGCAAUGAAAUGUGUUACUUGAGCCAUUGGCUUUAAGUGACAUAAACCAAAGGCACGAAAACAUUUCUGAAGUGCUGAUAAUGCUCAGUUACCUCUCACCUUAUUUCAGAUCACUGAUGUUUGUAAUAUUUCUGCUCUUCCUUAUGUUCCUCAGUAUUGCCAUUGAAAAUUCAGCCAUAAUUAGCUACCAUGAAAACUAAGAGCAGUAAAUAAGGACUGUUUAUUAUUAAAGCAUGAAAGAGUUUCAAAUUGCAAUGCUUAUUGAAAUCAACAUAAAUCUUUUCCCCCCUCCCAAUUAAUCUAAUCUUAGAAGAUCUUUCCAUUAAAAAAGAAAGUUGCAAUAUGAGUAUUAUUAUACUCAUAUAUGAGUGAGUGCUAUCUCACACUAUACAGUUGAUCUUUAAACCAGACCAAAUGUGAAAUUUUCAACAUAUUUUAAAGUUGUUGCUCUUUAUUUUUACCAAUUAAUGACUCUUUUGAACUUCACCUCAUGAUACUUAUUAGCCUUCUUAAAUAUACUGGAGGUGAUACAUUCUUCAUUUAUGUCACUCAUUAAUCACUGCUCAAUAACUGCUGUCAGGAAGCUGCUGCCUUUGAUGUCUCAUUGUUCAGUGCCUUCUUUCUUGUUGGUAGUUAAUCAAACGCUUCCCUGCUGUGGUCAAAGCACAGCUUGAGAGCAGUUCCAGAGGUGAUCCAGCAUUAAAACAUGGAGCUGAUUGGAAAGGUCCAGUUUUUUUUUAUAUAUCAUGCCCAAGUGAAAGCUUUCAUUUUGCAGUCCAUGGCAAAUGAGGCAUUGUUGUCCUGCUCUUGUGACUGGGAAAACAGAGCUGAGUUCUGCCAUCUAACUGAAGCACGCUGUAAUGACUGACUAAUUAGCUGCAGUUAUGAAAUGAACUGCAAAGUUUCCACUGUCAAUCACGGUGAAAUAAUGUUUCUUCUUAUUUUUUCUUUUUUUUUCUUUUUUUUUUUUGUUUUAAGAGUGGAAUUAAAAUAAUUGUCGAAAUGUAUUAAAGCUUCAGGGGGUCGUAAGUCUAAUGAAAGCAUCCAACAGAGAAAAAUAUCUGUCCUGGGAUAAAAUGAACAUUUUCAUUUCUAGUGUUCAAUCCAGAUUUAGACUGAAAAUAUUCAGAAAGAGAUUCUGCAAAAGCAAGUGUGGGCAAACUGAAAACAAGGGAAAUAGCAACUUAGAGGAGAGUGAAAGACAGGAAUGAAAUGGGACCAGGAACAAUCAUUGAAAAGGAAAUUAAAAAGAAAUUAAAAACAGAUUAUUUGGAAAUAAUGUGUGCUUUUAUAGUAGUUUGGCACAGUCUAAAAAUAAAUCCUCAGUGUUUGGAGUCUUUGCAAAGAUGAUAAAAUAUUUCUGUUUCUCUUUUCAGAGAUCUAACACUAAUAACAGGACAUGCCAAACAGUUGCUGCUGUUCAGCUGAAAAGAUCUCUCAGAUUAAUAUACACUGCCAUCAUCUUCCACUUGUGAGUGAAUCCGUAAGUUUAUGUAAGACUAAAGUAAAGAAAAAUAAAAGUACAGAAAAUAAACAUGUUGUGCUUUUUAGAAAGAAGGUAUUACACUGCCUAAUCAUUUAAUAAAUAAAAUGGUAUUUAGCAAGUGGUACCUAAGAAGAAGUUGAGGCAUUUUUAGCCAGUUAAGAUCUUCUGCUAUUCCCUGAGCUCCUCUCCUGUGUAAAAUCUUGUCACAAUCACCAAUUGCUGGAACACUCAAAUUAGUAAGACAAGAACUUGAGUAGGAAAGGGGGUUGAAAGUAAGUGAUCAUUAAGGUCCCUUCCAAAGCAUUCUAAGAUUCUGUGAUGCGUGAUUUUAAAUAAAACAUUGUAAAAGUCUCUUUGUAGUAGGGACCUCACAACCCAGACAUGGCACAGAUAAUGACAAACCCCAUCUGUACAGCUUUGAGAUCUCUGUGUUGUUUCAUUUUGCUAGAGCUUUCAUGAGAACAUAGACCUAUAAUUAAAAUAAGAACUUGGUGGACUGUUUAGAGUCUAACUUUCACUUUGUUACCUGCUAUUUCUCAUUUUUCUCUCGUUUGAAACUGAACAGAAAAGAUUAUGCUUUAGCCCGCAGGCACUUUCUUUAGAUUUCUUUUUUUUCAAAUGACUGAGGGAACAAAAUAUUUCCCUUUCUCUAGACACUGGCAUUCCACCUGACUCAAAUCCCCGUGACCUCAAGCACAAUUUUCCCCUGUUCAGGACUGGAUACAAAAGCACUGAGUUAAUCCAUGGUCUGUUCACUGCGGGCACAAUGCGCCUCUUGGUGCGCCUUGUGAUCUUCAGAAGGGCAGAGUAAGAACCUCGAGAGAAUCUGAGGGCUGUAAGUGCCUGAUGCACCAAUGGCAGGCACUGACCUGCUCAAAAUGCUGGGGAUAAUUUCCCCAGGCUCCCAAGCAGUGACACAUCUCCCCUGGAACCUGCAGCGCUGCAAACAUUCCCUGCCCAGCAGGGCCUGGGCUUCACUGACCUGCUCAGGGCUUGUGGACAUGAUUCUCUGAACCUGAGACAAUAUUCAAGCUCUCAGUCGCUGACCAUUCCCAAUGGAGAGCCUUGGGAACCAUUCUUGCUCCAAGAUUAUUUGUGUAAAUAAAAGAUCUCUUCCCAAAAACAAGACACAGAAGUUCUGAGAGUGUUUUCUCUCUUAUCCCACCAGAGGGAUGAGAGAGGUGUUGUCCCUUCUACCCAUCAGGGUGACCUGUUCAGAGAAGCUUUUAAAAAGGUUAACAAAACUCCACAAUAAAGGCUUUUGACCUCAUGAAAGUGGCUGCAGUGUAGAUAAUUUCUGGGGACCCUCGCUCAGUACUUUGUGUCCUCACAGGGGAUCACACUCAGGUUCUGUGAUAUCACUGCUUGGGUUUGUGAUAUCAGUGCUUGGGUUUGUGAUAUCCAUCUCAGGUUCUGUGAUAUCCACCUCAGGUUCUGUGAUAUCCAUCUCAAGUUCUGUGAUAUCACUGCUUGGGUUUGUGAUAUCCAGCUCAGGUUCUGCGAUAUCACUGCUCAGGUUUGUGAUAUCACCGCUCAGGUUCUGUGAUAUCACUGCUCUGGUUUGUGAUAUCCAUCUCAGGUUCUGUGAUAUCCAGCUCAGGUUCUGUGAUAUCGCUGCUUGGUUUGUGAUAUCCACCUCAGGUUCUGUGAUAUCCAUCUCAAGUUCUGUGAUAUUCAUCUCAGGUUUGUGAUAUCACUGCUUGGGUUUGUGAUAUCACUGCUCAGGUUCUGCGAUAUCACUGCUCAAGUUCUGUGAUAUCAGUCUUGGGUUCUGUGCUAUCACUGCUCAAAUUCUGUGAUAUCACUGCUCAGGUUCUGUGAUAUCCACCUCAGGUUCUGUGAUAUCACUGCUCUGGUUUGUGAUUUCACUGCUCAGGUUCUGUGAUAUCACUGCUCAGGUUUGUGAUAUCACUGCUCUGGUUUGUGAUAUCCACCUCAGGUUCUGUGAUAUUCAUCUCAGGUUCUGUGAUAUCACUGCUCUGGUUUGUGAUAUCACUGCUCAGGUUCUGUGAUAUCACUGCUCUGGUUUGUGAUAUCACUGCUCUGGUUUGUGAUAUCACUGCUCUGGUUUGUGAUAUCACUGCUCUGGUUCUGUGAUAUCACUGCUGGCAGCUUAGCAAAGUCCAGAAGAAAUCAGGGACAUCACGAUCCUGACUCCAUGUGAUGAACAUCUGAGGAAUGUUUCAGUGGCCAUUUGGAAAGAGGAGGGAGCCAAAACCAAGGAUUUUAGAAUAUCACAACAAAUGACUCAGAUUCUGUGCAGCUGUUUAAUGCAUCAAGCCUCAGUCCAAUGAAACUGCAGCAGGAUGAAUUUGGACUCUUAUACUUUGGGGACUAUGAUGGGUUUUGCUCCAGAUGCAAAAUGACAGACUGCUGAUGGCUCUUUACAUAUAUUUUGCAGACUGAGUUAAUCAUAAAUAAUUAUGUCAAAUAAAGCAAAUU
Molecule: long non-coding RNA, 4235 nt
Organism: Cyanistes caeruleus (blue tit)
Lineage: Eukaryota; Metazoa; Chordata; Aves; Passeriformes; Paridae
Source: RefSeq, a predicted model, not a curated record